This 483-nucleotide ribosomal RNA is filed under the name uncultured bacterium. RNAcentral's name for it is "bacterial SSU rRNA". It matches the Rfam family "Bacterial small subunit ribosomal RNA", at positions 30 to 507 of the family's 1533-position model. The record is from RNAcentral.
AUUGAACGCUGGCGGCAGGCCUAANACAUGCAAGUCGAGCGGUAGAGAGGUGCUUGCAUCUCUUGAGAGCGGCGGACGGGUGAGUAAUGCCUAGGAAUCUGCCUAGUGGUGGGGGAUAACGUUCGGAAACGGACGCUAAUACCGCAUACGAUCUACGGAUGAAAGCGGGGGAUCGCAAGACCUCGCGCGAUUGGAGCGGCCGAUAUCAGAUUAGGUAGUUGGUGAGGUAAAGGCUCACCAAGCCGACGAUCUGUAGCUGGUCUGAGAGGACGACCAGCCACACUGGGACUGAGACACGGCCCAGACUCCUACGGGAGGCAGCAGUGGGGAAUUUUGGACAAUGGGCGCAAGCCUGAUCCAGCAAUGCCGCGUGCAGGAUGAAGGCCUUCGGGUUGUAAACUGCUUUGUACGGAACGAAACGGUGAGCUCUAAUACAGUUUGCUAAUGACGGUACCGUAAGAAUAAGCACCGGCUAACUACGUG